Molecule: non-coding RNA, 93 nt
Organism: Stygiomarasmius scandens
Lineage: Eukaryota; Fungi; Basidiomycota; Agaricomycetes; Agaricales; Campanellaceae
Source: the annotation of a GenBank genome assembly
GCCCGCUUAGCUCAGUGGUAGAGCGCGCCACUCGUAUAACGGAUUUCAUAUUAAAGAAUGGUGAGGUCGGUUGUUCAAUCCAGCCAGUGGGCA